CAGCGAAAUGCUGACUGCAGUGGGGUUUGAACCUGUGCUCCCCUGAUCCGAACACCAACGCACUAGUUCACUGCCCCACACGCCUGCACAUACAAACAUAAAG
Notothenia coriiceps (black rockcod) is the source of this 103-nucleotide long non-coding RNA. RefSeq lists it as uncharacterized. The transcript is spliced from 3 exons. NCBI's taxonomy places the organism in Eukaryota, Metazoa, Chordata, Actinopteri, Perciformes, Nototheniidae. The record is from RefSeq and is a predicted model, not a curated record.